RNAcentral lists this ribosomal RNA (1019 nucleotides) under Ascidiella aspersa. RNAcentral's name for it is "SSU rRNA". It matches the Rfam family "Eukaryotic small subunit ribosomal RNA", at positions 592 to 1638 of the family's 1831-position model. The record is from RNAcentral. Lineage: Eukaryota; Metazoa; Chordata; Ascidiacea; Phlebobranchia; Ascidiidae.
CAAAAGUGUAUAUUUAAGUUGUUGCGGUUAAAAAGCUCGUAGUUGGAUUUUGGGCGCAGGCGGCCGGUCCGUCGCAAGGCGUGUACUGGCCGUCCUGGCCUCACCUCCGGUUCUCCGCCGGUGCCCUUGACUGAGUGUCGGCGGCGGCCGGAACGUUUACUUUGAAAAAAUUAGAGUGUUCAAAGCAGGCGAUUCGCCUGAAUAAUGGUGCAUGGAAUAAUGGAAUAGGACCUCGGUUCUAUUUUGUUGGUUUUCGGAGCGCGAGGUAAUGAUUAAGAGGGACAGACGGGGGCAUUCGUACUGUGCCGUUAGAGGUGAAAUUCUUGGAUCGGCGCAAGACGAACGACUGCGAAAGCAUUUGCCAAGAAUGUUUUCUUUAAUCAAGAGCGAAAGUCAGAGGUUCGAAGACGAUCAGAUACCGUCCUAGUUCUGACUAUAAACGAUGCCAACUAGCGAUCGGGGGGCGUUAGUUUUACGACCUCUCCGGCAGCUUGCGGGAAACCAAAGUCUUUGGGUUCCGGGGGAAGUAUGGUUGCAAAGCUGAAACUUAAAGGAAUUGACGGAAGGGCACCACCAGGAGUGGAGCCUGCGGCUUAAUUUGACUCAACACGGGAAAUCUCACCCGGCCCGGACACAGUGAGGAUUGACAGAUUGAGAGCUCUUUCUUGAUUCUGUGGGUGGUGGUGCAUGGCCGUUCUUAGUUGGUGGAGCGAUUUGUCUGGUUAAUUCCGAUAACGAACGAGACUCUGGCUUGCUAACUAGUUACGCGACCCAAUCGGUCGGCGUCUAACUUCUUAGAGGGACUAGUGGCGUUUAGCCACACGAGAUUGAGCAAUAACAGGUCUGUGAUGCCCUUAGAUGUUCGGGGCCGCACGCGCGCUACACUGACCGGAUCAGCAUGUGCUCGCCUUGGCCGACAGGUCUGGGUAACCCGCUGAACCCCGGUCGUGCUAGGGAUAGGGAAUUGCAAUUAUUUCCCUUGAACGAGGAAUUCCCAGUAAGCGCGAGUCAUUAGCUCG